UUGCUCGAGAUAUGCUAGCUAUUCAUUUAGCAUCGCUGGCAACAUACUGAGUCCACAUCACCACAAGAUUCAUUACAUUAGAGGCGUUGAUGUGUUUACGGAAUUGGAAAUGGGCUGACAUAAAAGGCCCAGGGCAAGGAUUUGGUUCAUCAAUUUAUGAUGAUAAUGAUGCAGACGAUAAGGAGGAAACCGAAGUGGCAUAAUUUUGAUGAUAUUGACGAUUUUGGUGAAAAGUUUUGGACUUCUUAUGUGAUAGGUUUAUUUCUCAAUAUUUCAAAAGUAUGCAAUUUAAUAUGUUUUGGAUUUUUUUUAGGUAUAUAAUAAUUUAAAAUUUGUCUACAGGUUGUUUAUGUGUUGCACAUGGAAUGUUAGGUGCUAUGGUCUGAGUGUUAUUCUUGAAUCUUGAUCGUGUGACGUGGGGUCCUUUUGGCUCCUCAUGAAAUAUGAAUAGAGUUUCUUGUUUUUUGUUUUUUGAUUUUUGUUUUUUGUUUUUUUUAUUAUUUGGCUACUCUUUGACUUGUUCGUUGUGAAGGCUUGUUUGUUUGGUUAAUUUGGAAUCAAAUUUAAGUUCAUUAUAAUAUAAUGAUAUAUUACAUUAUAAUGAACUUGAUAGUGUGAUGUGGGUGUUGUUCCAGUGUUACCCUACUUCCCCUGUAAA
This is a long non-coding RNA of Pistacia vera, 658 nucleotides long. RefSeq lists it as uncharacterized. The record is from RefSeq and is a predicted model, not a curated record. The transcript has 3 exons. NCBI's taxonomy places the organism in Eukaryota, Viridiplantae, Streptophyta, Magnoliopsida, Sapindales, Anacardiaceae.